GUGAAAAGAACAAAGUUUUGUCCAUCUUUGUUCAUCAUAGCCUAAAGUUAGAGAAGAGAAAGGAGAGGAGAAAGCUCUUGAAUGUUCGGUCACUUGGGGAAGAAAAUUGAAGGUAAGUUCAUGGUAGUUUGCUUCUAUCUUGAUGUUCAUGAGUUCUUCUUGAUUCUACCUUAACUCUUGAAGCAUAUUUUGGUUUUUAGUUGUGUUGUGAGCAUUUAGUCAUGAAUUAAAAUGAAGGAAAUGGUUGUUGUUUCAUGUUCUUUUGAUGAAAAAUGGAAGAUAGGUGAAGUUAAGCCAAACAAAUGAGCAUGCAUGUGCCUUAGAUGGUAAGGGGAAAAAUCUGCUAACAUGUUGUGAUUUAAAAUGAUGAAAUGGAGAUUAUACUUAAGUAAAAUCAUAGAUAUGUGAUGAUUGAUUGGUGAUAUACAUGUUUAAAUAACAAGCAUGCAAGUUAGGUGUGAAAGAGUGAUUUGGUAAUAAAUCUGCUUGGGACAGCAGCAGUAACGUGACUUUGGAAAAUCACCAUAAAUUGUGGGAGAUGAGUUAGAAGCUGCAUAAAUUAUGUAAUUAAAGAUUAAUGAGUCUAGUUUCAAAUGGAAUAAACGAGAACAUAUUUUUAAUUCUGUACAAUGAUAAAUUUGAUUCGUAAUGAAGAGUGGUCAGAUUAGUCAAACAGUGAAACAUGGGAAACUUUAAGAAAAAUCUGGUAUUGAUUGGCUAAACCAAAAAUUCUGAAAAUUUUAUGGAUAAAAGAUAUAUGAGUCUAUUUUCAGGUAAAAUUAACGGCACUUGAUUUGGAGUUUCGUAGCUCCAGUUAUAAAUGAUUUAGUGACCGUUGUUCAGGAAGACAGCUUGCAGUGAGAUUAUGAUUAUGUGGUAAACAUUGACAAAAAUUUGUUAAUGAGUUGCUUAUUGAUUUCUUAUAAACUUACUAUGAUCUGUAGGUGUGGUUAGCCGAAUAUUGUAAGGGGUUAAUACGUAGUUCGUAUUUGAAUAGUUAGAUUAAUGUGUUAGUAAUCCAAUUGUAGGCAGUUCGUGUGUGGAUCUCGUCAGCAUAUCGUCGCAAACAGGUGUGUAACUAACACCCUCUUUCUUAGUCUGGAUCGGCAAAAGUCGAAAAGCCGAAAUGCUAAAAACUGGUAUUUUGUAGAUUUGCGAGUGUGCGAAUGCUCGUGAGGUAAAUUGAUUAAUGUUUUUGGUAAGCUGCAAAAUUUGGACUGCAAAGUGCAUGAUUUCUGUGCCCUCGAUAUUUUUGGGCUUAAUGGGCCAAAAUGAGAAUGAUGGGCCAACGGACCCAAUUCGGUAAGAACCCUCGGUACGUGAUUCUGUUAGUACGUGAAAAGUAGGAAUAUGCAUGAAAAACCCUAAAAUAGAUAAAUUACUGAAAUACCUUUAAAAGUGGAAAAUUUACAGUUUUACCCCUAGUAGAUAAAUUACCGAAAUACCCCUAGGGUUAAAUUGACCUAAAUGCAUGUUUGACUGUUGUUAUUUACUGCAUGCCAUGUUGUUAUUAUCUGAUGCAUGGGAUUGGGAUAUUGACGGAGGAAGUACUAAAAGUGGCUUGUCCACGUACUGGAGGCUUUGCCUCAAUUUACUGUUAACUGAGCAGCAAGGCUGCAACUGUGGAGUGUUGGGUUGGGUGGGUUGAGCUAUUCCCCACAUGGAGUGCAGGGCUGGUACGGGUGGAGUGUAGUGGCUGGUGGGUUGAGUAGUCUCCCCAAAUGGGCUUGCAUAUGUUAUUGAUGUUGCAUGUAUUUUGAAAUGGGCCUAUGGGCCAUACUGUUAUCUGAAUAAGGGGCUAAGGCCCAGUUUAUUGUAAUCUGAAAAGGGCUUUGGUCUAGUACCACUGUUACCUGAAUGGGCUUAGGCCCAAUAGGCUUGAGCUGACUUGGCUUUGAAUGGGUUUUCCUUACACACUGAGUUUCUCCAAACUCACCCCUUUUAUUUUCAUCCAUGCAGGAAAUCCCCAACCAUAGUGGGCUUGGAGCUGUGAGGGAAUUCGGAGUGGCCACCCGUUCUGAAAGUUUGAUUUUCUUCUGGUGAACUGGACAUCAUUUUAUUUACGUUUGAAGUUUUGGGUUUUUAAAUGUAAUAAGGCCACUUAAUUAUUUCUGAUGGUUUUAAUAUGUAUUACUAAGAUAGGUAUUACUUAUUUUAACUGUUGAAAUUGGAUAGCUUUAGGGCGCAUUUUCAAAAACAACAAUUGAUUUCAAAAUAACACGACAACAAGCAAAACUUCCGCAAUGAAAGUAUUUUCCAAAAUUAAUCACUUUUCCUAAAAAUGACUUAAUCAAAUCAGUUUCCUAGAAAUAUCCAUGACGUUAUGGUGUGGCAAUGGCGGUAUGCAUGUCUAGGAUUGGAUCCGAAGGGAGCUUGGUACUUAAGCAGUCCGAUGGACUUACCACCUCUUUUCCGGUUUCCUACCUGGUGCACAGCUUCCAUUCACUUUAACUUAUAAUGAAAUUAUCUUUUAAAACACUAAGUAAGUUUUUCUGGAUCAACAAUAUAAAAUGUUUUGGACGCUUCGAUAUGGCAUGUCAAAUCCGGUCAUAACGUCUGGGCCGGGUUUGGGGUGAUACAUUUAGUGGUAUCAGAGCCUAGGUUGCAACAACUCGGCUGUAGAAUGGGUUUACAAAAACAAAGAUUUUCAAAAACAAAAAUUUUAUAAAGAUUGCGAAAAACUCGAUUUUCAAAAUUUAGAUCUUUUGAAGGUGGCGCCCGAAUCUUCGGCUCAAGUCUGUAAGUAUUCUGAAUUUUUCUAAAUAUUUUCUGAAUUAUCUAUCUGUACUAAAAUCCUGCUAGGAUACUCUAGAUAGGAUGAUACUGAAACAUAGAAAAAUUUGAUAAGAGACUGAAACUAUAGCUAGACUUCGAUUCUGCGAAAACAAACUCUGAAUUACUGUCUGAUUCAUAAAACAUCCAUAAUAAACACUGGAAUAUUGAAUUAAUACAUAAAAAUUCAUAAUCGGAUAAUACGAUAUGAGUACAAGAGUCACUCGUGGAAGAGGCCGUGGACGGGGCCGAGGAAAUGCUCGAGCGAGAUCUUUAUUUUUGGGACAUAUGCCGGCGGUGGAUGGACCGAUACCACCGGCAACAGAGGUAGAGUCUCAUGACCGCGGUGUCGAGGAUGAUGCCCUGUCACAGGCAAUACUUCGUGUUCUGGAAAGGGUUGCCAGGGUAAGUACGGGCAAUGGAGUUCGGGGAUCUAUUUCUGAACGACUUCGGGCUAACGGAGCGGAGAUCUUUAGGGGCGUGUCUGGUAUAGCCCCGAAUGUGGCGGAAUAUUGGUUGGAGGCCACAGAACGGAUUAUGGACAACUUGGACUGCUUUGAGGAGAUUGUGAGUGGGGUAUCUGUACUAAGUCCUUUGGGUCACUCGGUUAGGGUAGACAAACUGUAUAGGGAUGUACCCUUAGAAACUCAAGGUAGGAUUUUCCCUGGAGAUCUGAUGGAGUUACCAUUCGGAGAGUUUGAUCUCAUUUUGGGAAUGGACUAGCUUGUUAAGCAUAAGGCGUUCCUGGAUUGUGCUGCUAAACGAAUGGUGUUAAGGACCACAAAGGAUGAUGAGGUUAUGGUGAUAGGUGAGCGAAGGGAUUAUUUGUCCAAUAUGGUGUCGGCAUUAAGAGCCGAGAAGUGGAUUUGGAAAGGUUGUGAGGCUUAUUUGGCAUUUGUAAGUUAGUCGGAAGAGGAGGGAUUGACAGUGGAUAAGGUUAGGAUCGUAAAAGAGUUCUAAGAUGUUUUUCUGGAAGAGCUUCCAGGAUUGCCUCCGAACCGAGAAGUUGAGUUUGGAAUAGAUUUGUUGCCAGGAACGGCGCCUGUGUCCAUCGCACCGUAUAGGAUGGCACUGAAGGAGUUAGUGGAGUUAAAGGCUCAAAUUCAAGAGUUGUUGGAUAGGGGCUUCAUUAGGCUAAGUGUGUCUCCAUGGGGAGCACCGGUGCUAUUCGUGAAAAAGAAGGAUGGUACGAUGCGGAUGUACAUUGAUUAUCGCCAGUUGAACAAACUUGCGAUUAAAAAUAAGUAUCCACUGCCAAGGAUUGACGAUCUGUUUGACCAGCUUAGAGGGGCUUCUGUAUUUUCUAAGAUCGACCUCUAUUUGGAUAUCAUCAGUUAAGGGUCAAGGAGGCGAAUAUCCAUAAGACGACAUUUAGGACUCGGUAUGGUCAUUACGAGUUUUUGGUUAUGCCAUUUGGACUGACGAAUGCUCCUGCAACAUUUAUGGAUCUGAUGAAUCGGGUAUUCCAACCAUUAUUGGAUCGAUUCGUAGUCGUCUUUAUUGACGAUAUCCUGGUAUAUUCUGAAAAUGAAGCGAAACAUGAUGAGCAUCUCUGUAUAGUGCUGCAAGUGUUAAGGAAGAAGAAACUCUUUGCGAAGUUCAGCAAGUGUGAAUUUUGGUUGAGGGAGGUAACCUUCUUAGGACAUGUGGUCUCUGCCGAAGGGAUUAAGAUAGACCCUCGAAAGAUUGAAGCAAUUUUGGAGUGGAAGCCACUUAGGACGGUGUCGGAAAUUCGAAGUUUCCUAGGGUUGGCAAGAUACCACAGAAGGUUUGUGGAAGGUUUUUUUGUUAUGGCAGCACCCCUGACAAAACUAAUAAGGAAAGGAGAACCGUUUGUAUGGACUGAGAAGCAGCAGGAAGCUUUUGAGAAGUUGAAGAAAGUUCUGACUGAAGCACCUGUGUUGAUUCAACCGGAGUCUGGGAAGGAUUUUACUGUGUACAGUGACGCAUCACAUGUGGGUUUGGGCUCUGUGUUAAUGCAGGAGGGUAAGGUGGUUGCAUAUGCAUCACGAUAGCUUAAACCGCACGAAGGGAACUAUCUUACUCAUGAUUUGGAGUUGGCGGCAAUGAUAUUUGCACUUAAGAUUUGGAGACAUUACUUGUACGGGGAGAGGUGUAUUAUAUACACAGACCACAAGGGUCUUAAGUAUUUGUUGACUCAGAAGGAGCUGAACCUUAGGCAAAGGAGAUGGAUUGAGUUGCUUAAGGAUUAUGACUAAUCGAUCGAGUAUCACCAGGCAAGGCUAAUGUGGUAGUCGAUGCUCUAAGUUGUAGAACUGUAUCUGAUCUGAGAAUAAUGUUUGCUCGUCUGAGUCUGUAUGAUGAUAGAAGUCUGUUGGCUGAGUUGCAAGUGAGGCCAACCUGGGUGGAUCAGAUUAAGGAAAAGCAGUUGAACGAUGAGUCUUUGGUCGCUCAUUUUCAACAAGUUAAGGAAGGGAAAACUUUUGAGUUUGGGUUAAAUGGCGAAGGAGUUCUGUGUUUCCGAGGAAGAAUUUGUGUUUCGAAGGACUCUGAUUUGAGGCAGACAAUAUUGAAAGAAGCUCAUGGAGGACUUUGUGCCAUGCACCUUGGAGGGAACAAGUUGUAUCACGACUUACGAGAAUUGUACUGGUGGCUUGGACUUAAACGAGAAGUAACGGAGUUUGUAGGGAAAUGUCUGACAUGCCAGCAAGUGAAAGCUGAGCAUCAAUUACCCUCUGGAUUGUUACAGUCAGUGAAGAUACCACUUUGGAAGUGGGAGAGGGUAGCCAUGGACUUUGUGAGUGGACUGUCUUUGACACCAUCAAAGAAAAACUCGGUGUAGGUGAUUGUGGAUAGGUUGACCAAAUCAGCCCAUUUCAUACCUGUACGUACUGACUUUUCACUUCAAAAGUUAGCCAAGCUGUAUGUGGCGGAGAUUGUACGACUUCAUGGAGUCCCAGUUUCGAUUGUCUCUAACCGGGAUCCCAGAUUCACAUCUCGGUUUUGGCAAAAGUUGCAUGAGGCGUUGGGGACGCGAUUGAACUUUAGUACGGCUUUCCAUCCCUAAACUGAUGGUCAGUCAGAGAGGGUUAUUCAGAUUCUGGAGGACAUGUUGAGGGGAUGCGUGAUUGACUUUCGAGGUAGUUGGGAGGAUUACUUGCCGUUGGCAGAAUUUACGUACAAUAACAGUUACCAGGUGAGUAUUCGAAUGGCACCGUAUGAAGCACUGUAUGGACGAAUGUGUCGUACACCUAGUUGUUGGACUGAACUAGGAGAGCGAAAAAUUCUUGGACCAUAGUUGGUAGCUGAUACUGAGGAUAAGGUCAGAAUAAUUAGGGACCGAUUAAAAGAAGCAUUUGAUAGGCAAAAGUCGUAUGCAGAUUUGAAGCGUAAGGAGAUUGAGUACUUAGUAAGUGAUAUGGUCUUCUUAAAGGUUUCUCCUUGGAAGAAGAUGUUAAGGUUCGGUAAGAAGGGCAAGUUGAGUCCGCGGUUCAUUGGGCCUUAUCGGGUUUUGAAGCGAGUAGGCCCAGUAGCUUAUCAGUUGGAAUUGCCUCUAGAGUUAGACAGGAUUCACGAUGUUUUUCACGUCUCCAUGUUAAGGCGUUAUUGUGCUGACCCUGCUCAUGUCCUGCCAGUUGCAGAAAUUGAAGUUCAGACUGAUUUGACCUUUGAGGAGGAGCUUAUGCAAAUAUUGGCUCGAGAUGUUAAGGUUCUCAGAAGGAAAUCUGUCCCGUUAGUGAAAGUACUUUGGCGUAAUCAUGGAAGGGAAGAAGCUACUUGGGAAUCAGAAGAGACUAUGCGUCAACAAUACCCUCAACUAGUUGGAUCAGGUAAAUUUCGAGGACGAAAUUUCUUUAAGGAGGGUAGAGUUGUAACGCCCCAACUUUCGGGAAUUCUGUGAAUGUUGGCAUAGGUUUAAUUAUGUUAGUGGGCCUUUAGAAGGCCCAAGCUUAAGAUAGAACCCGGCAAUUUUAGUUAAUUUUUGUUCCAUAAGAAAAAAGGGGUGAAAUUAUGAAAUAGGACCUAUGCGAAAAUGUUUGAAAAUGCUAUAGGCUAAAUUGAAGUGGCCAAAUAAAUAGGAGUGCAAAAUAGGAGGAUUUGCACGACAAACCUCCCAUUUUACAUGAAGUGGCCAGCCAUCAUGUUGUUGUAGACAAAAUGUGCACUUGAUAUCCAUAAUUUAUGGUACAAAUUGAUACAAAUUGAUAAUGGGUUAGGUAAAUGUUCCAUGAUAAUGGGUUAGGUAAAUGUUUCAUGAUAAUGGGUUAGGUAAAUGUUCCAUGAUAAUGGGUUAGGUAAAUGUUCCAUGAUGGGAAUUUCAUGUCUUUUGUAUUAAAGAAUUAAAUGGAUGAAAUAUGAAAUUUUAUUAAAACAAAAAGGGGUGAAAAGAACAAAGUUUUGUCCAUCUUUGUUCAUCAUAGCCUAAAGUUAGAGAAGAGAAAGGAGAGGAGAAAGCUCUUGAAUGUUCGGUCACUUGGGGAAGAAAAUUGAAGGUAAGUUCAUGGUAGUUUGCUUCUAUCUUGAUGUUCAUGAGUUCUUCUUGAUUCUACCUUAACUCUUGAAGCAUAUUUUGGUUUUUAGUUGUGUUGUGAGCAUUUAGUCAUGAAUUAAAAUGAAGGAAAUGGUUGUUGUUUCAUGUUCUUUUGAUGAAAAAUGGAAGAUAGGUGAAGUUAAGCCAAACAAAUGAGCAUGCAUGUGCCUUAGAUGCUAAGGGGAAAACUCUGCUAACAUGUUGUGAUUUAAAAUGAUGAAAUGGAGAUUAUACUUAAGUAAAAUCAUAGAUAUGUGAUGAUUGAUUGGUGAUAUACAUGUUUAAAUAACAAGCAUGCAAGUUAGGUGUGAAAGAGUGAUUUGGUAAUAAAUCUGCUUGGGACAGCAGCAGUAACGUGACUUUGGAAAAUCACCAUAAAUUGUGGGAGAUGAGUUAGAAGCUGCAUAAAUUAUGUAAUUAAAGAUUAAUGAGUCUAGUUUCAAAUGGAAUAAACAAGAACAUAUUUUUAAUUCUAUACAAUGAUAAAUUUGAUUCGUAAUGAAGAGUGGUCAGAUUAGUCAAACAGUGAAACAUGUGAAACUUUAAGAAAAAUCUGGUAUUGAUUGGCUAAACCAAAAAUUCUGAAAAUUUUAUGGAUAAAAGAUAUAUGAGUCUAUUUUCAGGUAAAAUUAACGGCACUUGAUUUGGAGUUUCGUAGCUCCAGUUAUAAAUGAUUUAGUGACUGUUGUUCAGGAAGACAGCUUGCAGUGAGAUUAUGAUUAUGUGGUAAACAUUGACAAAAAUUUGUUAAUGAGUUGCUUAUUGAUUUCUUAUAAACUUACUAUGAUCUGUAGGUGUGGUUGGCCGAAUAUUUUAAGGGGUUAAUACGUAGUUCGUAUUUGAAUAGUUAGAUUAAUGUGUUAGUAAUCCAAUUGUAGGCAGUUCGUGUGUGGAUCUCGUCAGCAUAUCGUCGCAAACAGGUGUGUAACUAACACCCUCUUUCUUAGUCUGGAUCGGCAAAAGUCGAAAAGCCGAAAUGCUAAAAACUGGUAUUUUGUAGAUUUGCGAGUGUGCGAAUGCUCGUGAGGUAAAUUGAUUAAUGUUUUUGGUAAGCUGCAAAAUUUGGACUGCAAAGUGCAUGAUUUCUAUGCCCUCGAUAUUUUUGGGCUUAAUGGGCCAAAAUGAGAAUGAUGGGCCAACGGACCUAAUUCGGUAAGAACCCUCGGUACGUGAUUCUGUUAGUACGUGAAAAGUAGGAAUAUGCAUGAAAAACCCUAAAAUAGAUAAAUUACUGAAAUACCUUUAAAAGUGGAAAAUUUACAGUUUUACCCAUAGUAGAUAAAUUACCGAAAUACCCCUAGUGUUAAAUUGACCUAAAUGCAUGUUUGACUGUUGUUAUUUACUGCAUGCCAUGUUGUUAUUAUCUGAUGCAUGGGAUUGGGAUAUUGACGGAGGAAGUACUGAAAGUGGCUUGUCCACGUACUGGAGGCUUUGCCUCAAUUUACUAUUAACUGAGCAGCAAGGAUGCAACUGUGGAGUGUUGGGUUGGGUGGGUUGAGCUAUUCCCCAUAUGGAGUGCAAGGCUGGUACGGGUGGAGUGUAGUGGUUGGUGGGUUGAGUAGUCUCCCAAAAUGGGCUUGCAUAUGUUAUUGAUGUUGCAUGUAUUUUGAAAUGGGCCUAUGGGCCAUACUGUUAUCUGAAUAAGGGGCUAAGGCCCAGUUUAUUGUAAUCUGAAAAGGGCUUUGGUCAAGUACCACUGUUACCUGAAUGGGUUUAGGCCCAAUAGGCUUGAGCUGACUUGGGCUUUGAAUGGGUUUUCCUUACACACUGAGUUUCCCGAAAUUCACCCAUUUUAUUUUCAUCCACGCAGGAAAUCCCCAACCAUAGUAGGCUUGGAGCUGUGAGGAAAUUCGGAGUGGCCACCCGUUCUGAAAGUUUGAUUUUCUUCUGGUGAACUGGACAUCCUUUUAUUUACGUUUGAAGUUUUGGGUUUUUAAAUGUAAUAAGGCCGCUUAAUUAUUUUUGAUGGUUUUAAUAUGUAUUACUAAGAUAGGUAUUACUUAUUUUAACUGUUGAAAUUGGAUAGCUUUAGGGCGCGUUUUCAAAAACAACAAUUGAUUUCAAAAUAACAUGACAACAAGCAAAGCUUC
RNAcentral lists this long non-coding RNA (9354 nucleotides) under Gossypium barbadense (sea-island cotton). RNAcentral describes it as "long non-coding RNA (GBAR_LNC002030)". The record is from RNAcentral. Lineage: Eukaryota; Viridiplantae; Streptophyta; Magnoliopsida; Malvales; Malvaceae.